Long non-coding RNA from Choloepus didactylus (southern two-toed sloth), 1091 nucleotides. RefSeq lists it as uncharacterized. The record is from RefSeq and is a predicted model, not a curated record. The transcript is spliced from 3 exons. Lineage: Eukaryota; Metazoa; Chordata; Mammalia; Pilosa; Megalonychidae.
UUGAAGAAAGGUUUUUCCACUCCGCUAAGGGCUGUCGGGUUUCUGGACGCCGGCAUUCGGGCUGCAAGUUCUGCAGGACAGAUCUGCUUACAGGGUCAUUUGCUCAAGUCAAAGGAUUUUCCUUUUGGGCUGCGUUAUUUGAAUGGAAUGGAGGAUAGGUCUUGAGUUAGGUGGUUUUUCUUUCCAAGGAACUCAGCUCUAUGAUCUCUUCUGUUCCCAGCUGGAGAAAGUUCUCUGCUUUUAAGGACUCAUGUAACUAGAGAGGGCCCACCAGAAUUAUGCAGUAUGAUCUCCAUAUUUUAAGGAAGUUGUGUCAAGGUGGAAAGAAGCAUCCCUGAUAUCUGGUGUGGAAGGCUGGUGACCCCUGGCGCCCUUAACAUGCUGUGCCUCCUUCAUGCCCCUCUCCGAGGAGCCACACAUGCCACCUUAAUGUUAUUAUUGAAUUAAUUAUACUGAAGACCUAUGGCUAAUUCUGGGACAGGGAAAACUUUUUAUUAAAAGAAAAAGCAAAACAAAUCACUUCAUAUUAUCUUAAUAGCAAAGAGAACUUUAAAAAUCAUCUAAGUAUAGGUUUCUGAGGUUAAGAAAUGCAAAUAUUUUCAUAUCCUAAUGACUCUAAAUAGACUGGGGUUUGGGGAUAACUCACAGCUCUUUUAAGACAAAUUAAGCCUUAAAAUAGAAGUGCAAACUAAAUUAUACUUAUUAAUUUGCUACCCUUUUUUUUUUUACUUUAGCUAUUAAUCAUGUUGGGGGCCAUAAUUUGCUAGUUAAUUAUCAAUUUAAAGAAUUUUAAAUUAAAUCAUAAUUUAAACAAAAAUGCUCACUGGCUAGAUUUUCUGCUCUUUCUCUGAUGUAGCAUCACCUAACAGUCCAGCAUAAUAUGAUACUUCAGUUACACUCAAGUUUAUUAUUAGCAAAACCACUAGAGAAUACAAUAAUGUUGGUAUAAAAUCUUAUAUGUGUGUGUGUAUGUGUGUGUGUGGCCUUAGUGUAGUAUUAACCUAUGCAAUGUGGAGAUUUCUGUCAAAUGGAACUUGGAACACUGAAUCUGAAUUUGAAAAUAUAUUUGAUCAUGUCGCAGUAUGUGAACA